GGAAAGGGGAAUUUGCAGAGCUGUUCUCAGAACAAUAGCUCUGAUGGUAUAAAAGGCAUGUUUGUGCAAGAAAAUUAAGUUAAAUUGCAGCUUACCAUCUCCAUUCGGAAUCUGUACUGAGGAAUCAGUACAUCUUUAAGAUCCAGUAAAUGGUUUGCUACAUUGACUAAAGGCCUGAGCUGAAGCUCACUGAAUUGUUUCAAAGGCUUGUGACACACUUUUGAUAUUGUCAAAUUAUCUGACUCCAUGGAAAAGCUUUGCAGUCGGACAAGAUGACUCCUGGAUCUGCACAUCAUGAAAGAAAAUGCUAUGAAAUUUUUUUCAAGGGGAAUAGGUGCUAUUCAUUGUUUAGAUAAGCACUUCCUACUAGCUUAGCCUGGCUGACAUUUCAGGAUGAACUUGUUCUAUGUUCUGCUUCUUUACAAUUCAUGUGCCGCUCUUUCAAUAUCCUUCCUCUAGCAAGAAAUCUCCCUGCUCCAUCCUAAAAUGUCAUGCUUUCUACUAAGCUACACCGUUUUCAAGUACUCAAAUCUCAUCACAGCUGUGAUGCCAUAGACUGAUUGCCCAUGGCAUGUUAUUCUCUUCGUACAGAUUGUUUUCCAGUAUAUGAUGUAAGGCUAUAUAAGAGUUUCCCCUGUAUGUAUUUGAAAUAUAAAGCCUGAAAGUGUUGGUGUUGCCUUCCGUGCUCACAAAGAUGGACAAAGCGGUGGUUCAGCAAAAUGGUGGUUCAGUGUUGUCACAUGCAAGGAUGAUUGCUAAAUGAGGAUGCAGGCCUAUCUAAAUUUGUGUCAUUCAUAAACUUCUAAAUGAUGUUUGUUUCUGCAAAUGGGUUUCCCUAGGGUGUUACUGCACUAGGUUAUAGAAUGAAUAUAACCAUCUGCAAUUAAAAUACAUGGUAUUUUCAGUUGUUUAUUGUAGUGUUAUCUCCUAGGCUUUAUACUCGGUUUAGGAACCAAUAAUUUGUUUAUCUCCCUAUUUAUUGGUUCAUUUAAUAGUUGACAAUAGAAACAUCUUAUCAGUCAAAUCUAGUCAAAUAAUUUCUAGUCUGACAAUACCAGGAGAGCUAAGUACUCUCAUAUCAAUACAGAAUUACCGUUAUUGAUACCAUUACUGACUGCAGAAUGAUUCUCAUGAAAAUUAAGAUAUUCACAUUGUGGCUUUUGAGUGCUUGAUUUCACAUCAAAUAUUGCCGAAAAAUGUUAUGUACCUGAUAUGUGCCUGUGAAAAUACCAAAGACAGCAACAAUAAUUCUGGACUGUGUUCUCAAGUUCCUACAACUUCUGGAAAAAUAAGGAAAAUGUUACUUAUGUUGUUCUCUCCUCAUUGAUAUCUCAGAAAUAACAGAGCAAAUUUAUAGUAAUAGUAACAAGAUGAGAAAUUAUUUAUAUUACUUGUACAUGUUGCAUGUAGACUCCUGUUCACUAUACAUUGAAGCAGGCUCAGAUUUAUGCUUUAUAAUACCCAGUUUAAUCAUCUAAACUGUUGUAGCUGUAAUGGAAUAAAGCACUAAAUUUUGAGUAUUGGAACUGAUGACACAUUUCCUUGUUAAUUGGCUGCAUCUGGAGUAGAGGACUUGAUGAAACUGAGUACAUACAGCUGUUUUUAGCAAGUCUGACAUAUUUAACUUCUAAAAUGUAUCACUUCAGUAAGAGACUUAGGGAGUGAACUAAAGCCAGGAAGCUUUUGUAUGUUAAGUCAUGGUCAAAUAGGUAAGACAAAAUUCCUGGCACCAGAAGGCAGACAUGGAAGUCUGAAAGAAAAGCUAUUGUAUGUGAUUGUUUUUUAUUAAGUGGAAUUAUUUUGAUAAUUAAGCCAUUAUUUACUCUUCUUUUUGGGUAUGUCUGAGAAAACUGAUUAGGCAAAUACUGUUGAUGAUUUGUUUAACAAUUUUUAAAAGGUUUAAGUCAUCAAAAACAGAUUGGUCUACAAUAUAUGGCUGUAAACUGCAUUUGUUAAAGACUUCCACGUUUCAUAAUAAAAUGACACUAGAAGUGGAAAAGAUAAGAUGAUCUACUUUGGAUUGUAAGUCUGAGAGCCAUUCUUCAGCUAAGGGAUGCUGUUAGUUAAUUCAGAAGUAAAUGAAUUUCUGAUCUCUUGGGUUUAGGAAUUCAAGACAGUCAAAUAUGAUGUGCACUUGCUACGUGAUUCCUUCAGAAGGCAAGAUUUAAGUUCAAAGCAAUACUGAAAUGGCAUGGUAGUUGAAAUCAUGCAAGUUCCUCAGAUAUUUCCCAAAAAUAUUUUCUUUGAAGGAAAAACAUGUUCAUUGGA
Cygnus olor (mute swan) is the source of this 2268-nucleotide long non-coding RNA. RefSeq lists it as uncharacterized. NCBI's taxonomy places the organism in Eukaryota, Metazoa, Chordata, Aves, Anseriformes, Anatidae. The record is from RefSeq and is a predicted model, not a curated record. The transcript is spliced from 5 exons.